This 765-nucleotide ribosomal RNA is filed under the name uncultured Streptococcus sp. RNAcentral describes it as "bacterial SSU rRNA". It matches the Rfam family "Bacterial small subunit ribosomal RNA", at positions 28 to 776 of the family's 1533-position model. Lineage: Bacteria; Bacillati; Bacillota; Bacilli; Lactobacillales; Streptococcaceae. The record is from RNAcentral.
GACGAACGCUGGCGGCGUGCCUAAUACAUGCAAGUAGAACGCUGAAGAGAGGAGCUUGCUCUUCUUGGAUGAGUUGCGAACGGGUGAGUAACGCGUAGGUAACCUGCCUGGUAGCGGGGGAUAACUAUUGGAAACGAUAGCUAAUACCGCAUAAAAUUGACUAUUGCAUGAUAAUUAAUUGAAAGAUGCAAUUGCAUCACUACCAGAUGGACCUGCGUUGUAUUAGCUAGUUGGUGAGGUAACGGCUCACCAAGGCGACGAUACAUAGCCGACCUGAGAGGGUGAUCGGCCACACUGGGACUGAGACACGGCCCAGACUCCUACGGGAGGCAGCAGUAGGGAAUCUUCGGCAAUGGGGGGAACCCUGACCGAGCAACGCCGCGUGAGUGAAGAAGGUUUUCGGAUCGUAAAGCUCUGUUGUAAGAGAAGAACGGGUGUGAGAGUGGAAAGUUCACACUGUGACGGUAUCUUACCAGAAAGGGACGGCUAACUACGUGCCAGCAGCCGCGGUAAUACGUAGGUCCCGAGCGUUGUCCGGAUUUAUUGGGCGUAAAGCGAGCGCAGGCGGUUAGAUAAGUCUGAAGUUAAAGGCUGUGGCUUAACCAUAGUAUGCUUUGGAAACUGUUUAACUUGAGUGCAGAAGGGGAGAGUGGAAUUCCAUGUGUAGCGGUGAAAUGCGUAGAUACAUGGAGGAACACCGGUGGCGAAAGCGGCUCUCUGGUCUGUAACUGACGCUGAGGCUCGAAAGCGUGGGGAGCAAACAGG